RNAcentral lists this ribosomal RNA (301 nucleotides) under uncultured bacterium. RNAcentral's name for it is "partial 16S ribosomal RNA". It matches the Rfam family "Bacterial small subunit ribosomal RNA", at positions 509 to 807 of the family's 1533-position model. The record is from RNAcentral.
CAGUCGCCACGGGAAUACGUAGGGUGCAAGCGUUAAUCGGAAUUACUGGGCGUAAAGCGUGCGCAGGCGGUUCGUUAAGACAGAUGUGAAAUCCCCGGGCUUAACCUGGGAACCGCAUUUGUGACUGGCGGGCUAGAGUAUGGCAGAGGGGGGUAGAAUUCCACGUGUAGCAGUGAAAUGCGUAGAGAUGUGGAGGAAUACCGAUGGCGAAGGCAGCCCCCUGGGCCAAUACUGACGCCCAUGCACGAAAGCGUGGGGAGCAAACAGGAUUAGAUACCCGCGUAGUCCCUGUCUCUUAUAC